UACGUAGGUGGCGAGCGUUGUCCGGAAUUACUGGGUGUAAAGCGCGUGUAGGCGGGAGGCCAAGUCUGUGGUGAAAUCGCUCGGCUUAACUGGGCGGGGUCCAUGGAAACUGGUCACCUGGAGGUCGGUAGAGGCAAGUGGAAUUCCCGGUGUAGUGGUGAAAUGCGCAGAUAUCAGGAGGAACACCGGUGGCGAAGGCGGGUCUCUGGGCCGAUACCGACGCUGAGGAGCGAAAGCGUGGGGAGCGAACAGG
Molecule: ribosomal RNA, 253 nt
Filed under: uncultured bacterium
Lineage: Bacteria
Description: partial 16S ribosomal RNA
Rfam family: Bacterial small subunit ribosomal RNA
Source: RNAcentral